AGAGUUUGAUCAUGGCUCAGGACGAACGCUGGCGGCGUGCUUAACACAUGCAAGUCGAGCGAGGCCCACACCUUCGGGUGUGGUGCCCUAGCGGCGAACGGGUGAGUAACACGUGGGCAACCUGCCCCUAGCACUGGGAUAAGCCCGGGAAACCGGGUCUAAUACCGGAUAUGACGUCGGAGGGCAUCCUCCGGCGUGGAAAGGAUUCUGGCUAGGGAUGGGCCCGCGGCCUAUCAGCUUGUUGGUGGGGUGAUGGCCCACCAAGGCGACGACGGGUAGCCGGCCUGAGAGGGCGACCGGCCACACUGGGACUGAGACACGGCCCAGACUCCUACGGGAGGCAGCAGUGGGGAAUAUUGCACAAUGGGCGAAAGCCUGAUGCAGCGACGCCGCGUGAGGGAUGACGGCCUUCGGGUUGUAAACCUCUUUCAGCUCCGACGAAGCGAAAGUGACGGUAGGGGCAGAAGAAGCACCGGCCAACUACGUGCCAGCAGCCGCGGUAAUACGUAGGGUGCAAGCGUUGUCCGGAAUUAUUGGGCGUAAAGAGCUCGUAGGCGGCUUGUCGCGUCGGCUGUGAAAACCUGGGGCUCAACCCCGGGCCUGCAGCCGAUACGGGCAAGCUAGAAUUCGGUAGGGGAGACUGGAAUUCCUGGUGUAGCGGUGAAAUGCGCAGAUAUCAGGAGGAACACCGGUGGCGAAGGCGGGUCUCUGGGCCGAGAUUGACGCUGAGGAGCGAAAGCGUGGGGAGCAAACAGGAUUAGAUACCCCCGUAGUCC
Molecule: ribosomal RNA, 776 nt
Filed under: uncultured bacterium
Lineage: Bacteria
Description: bacterial SSU rRNA
Rfam family: Bacterial small subunit ribosomal RNA
Source: RNAcentral